This 72-nucleotide transfer RNA is filed under the name Dendronephthya gigantea. Its description in RNAcentral is "tRNA-Pro". It matches the Rfam family "tRNA". From Rfam's summary of the family: Transfer RNA (tRNA) molecules are approximately 80 nucleotides in length. Their secondary structure includes four short double-helical elements and three loops (D, anti-codon, and T loops). Lineage: Eukaryota; Metazoa; Cnidaria; Anthozoa; Malacalcyonacea; Nephtheidae. The record is from RNAcentral.
GGCUUGCUGGUCUAGUGGUAUGAUUCUCGCUUUGGGUGCGAGAGGUCACGGGUUCGGUUCCCUUGCAAGCCC